AUGCAGUUUUCUGGGACCAGCUUUUUAACCGUGGACUUUCCAUGGAAGAUGGAUACAUACAUCUGCCUUAUUCGGUGUUGCCGUUCACUCUCACCCUCCCAUGGAGAUGUCGCCGACAAUGCUGCCACACAUGUCCCUGCAAUCGUCACCCCCAUCCUCAUGUCUAGAGGCUUUCUUUACAAAAGAAAAAUUCACUCCCAUUGCCGCGAUGCUCCGCCUCCGAAACCACCUCCGCCGCCUCCCCUUCUCCACCGGCACCGCCUUCGUUCACACCCCGCCCAGUUCGUCGUCGAGGACUACCUCGUCGCCACCUGCGGCCUCGCACCAGCGCAAGCCCUCAAGGCCUCGAAAUUCCUCGUCCCCCGUCUCAAGUCGCCCGCCAAUGCCGACGCCGUCCGCGCAUUCCUCGCCGACGCCGGCAUCGCGAAAGCCGACAUCGCCUCGGCGAUUGCCUUGGACGCUCGGUUCCUCUGCUCCAGCGUGGACAAAACCAUAUCCCCACGCGUCGCCCGGCUCCGGAAAUGGGCUCUCCCCUCCCCAGAUCUCCCGCCUCAUCACCAUGUCCAGGGGAUCUUUCUCAAUCCCGCCGGAAUCUCCCGCCUCGAGUUCUACAUCUCCUUGUUGGGCUCCUACGACAAGGUGGAAGCCGCACUGAGGAGUAACCUCCAUCUCCUCAGCCAAAGUGUAGAUAAGGUGGUCAAGCCUAACAUGGCCUUCUUGCAGCAGUGCGGCCUAAGUGCUUGUGAUAUUGCCUGGCUCUACUUGUGCACCGGCAAACUGCUCACAAAUAACUUAGAGCAUCUGAAGGAAAUGGUGGCACGCGCUGAAAAGCUAGGUGUGCACCGUUCUUCGGGGAUGUUCAAGUCAGCCUUGGUCACCGUCUGCAACCUUACUCCUGAGAUGACUAGAGCCAAAAUUGAGUCAUUGGAGAGGGCUCUUGGAUAUUGUGAGGUCAAGCUGGCUGUGUCCAAGUUGCCACGCAUCCUUACUUUGUCAGAGGUCACGAUGGGUCACAAGGUGGAGUUCCUGAGGACGGAAUUUGGGUUGGAACCUUCAUACAUCGCACGAAGGCCGUCCAUUCUGACAUGCAGCUUGGAGAGGCGGCUGAUCCCAAGGCAUUAUGUCAUAUAUGUUCUCAAGGAGAAAGGGUUGGUUAAGAGAGACAUCGACUUGUUCGGCGUGUUUUGCAUGAGUCACAAGAAAUUUGUAGAGACGUAUCUUGACCGUCAAUGA
This 1233-nucleotide ribosomal RNA is filed under the name Triticum aestivum (bread wheat). Its description in RNAcentral is "partial small subunit ribosomal RNA". The record is from RNAcentral. Lineage: Eukaryota; Viridiplantae; Streptophyta; Magnoliopsida; Poales; Poaceae.